CCUACGGGUGGCAGCAGUCGAGAAUCAUUCACAAUGGGGGAAACCCUGAUGGUGCGACGCCGCGUGGGGGAAUGAAGGUCUUCGGAUUGUAAACCCCUGUCAUGUGGGAGCAAAUUAAAAAGAUAGUACCACAAGAGGAAGAGACGGCUAACUCUGUGCCAGCAGCCGCGGUAAUACAGAGGUCUCAAGAGUUGUUCGGAAUCACUGGGCGUAAGGGGUGCGUAGGCUGUUUCGUAAGUCGUGUGUGAAAGGCGCGGGCUCAACCCGCGGAAUGCACAUGAUACUGGGAGACUAGAGUAAUGGAGGGGGAACCGGAAUGCUCGGUGUAGCAGUGAAAUGCGUAGAUAUCGAGAGGAACACUCGUGGCGAAGGCGGGUUCCUGGACAUUAACUGACGCUGAGGCACGAAGGCCAGGGGAGCGAAAGGGAUUAGAUACCCCUGUAGUC
This 446-nucleotide ribosomal RNA is filed under the name uncultured bacterium. Its description in RNAcentral is "partial 16S ribosomal RNA". It matches the Rfam family "Bacterial small subunit ribosomal RNA", at positions 338 to 795 of the family's 1533-position model. The record is from RNAcentral.